Molecule: long non-coding RNA, 517 nt
Filed under: Lathyrus oleraceus (garden pea)
Lineage: Eukaryota; Viridiplantae; Streptophyta; Magnoliopsida; Fabales; Fabaceae
Description: Pisum sativum (pea) long non-coding RNA (PSAT_LNC030459)
Source: RNAcentral
CUCACUUAGAUCAUGCAUCACAUAGUCAUGUGCCUCCAACUAUCCAAACACUUCAUAACACUGCAUACACAAUUGUCUUACCUCUAUAUUACAAUGCAUUACCUGAUGAACAUAACCAACAAACUACUUCUAGACAGUUUCAACCAUCACCUCGCGAGUUCCUGAGUAGCUCUUCAAAUGUUCCAAACACCUGUCAACCUCUCUCUAGUAUCUCAACAACUAUAAUACCUCAUUCACCAACCGUAUUUGCUGCACCUAUUGGACAACACCAUGCCACACAACAUCACAUAAUUUUCAAUUCAUGUCUGAGUCUAUUUCACCAUCCUUUCACACUCAAAUCUCUCAAGCCCCACUUCUAGUUAAUGUUCACCCCAUGCUUACUAGAGCUAAGACUGGGAAAUCCAAACAAAAGACUUGCAUAGUUCAUGUUGAACAAACCACAACAAAUCACUCAUCCUAAAUGGUUCCAAGCAAUCAAAUCAAAAUAUGAGUCGCUUAUGGGUCCUAACUACUCUAC